RNAcentral lists this ribosomal RNA (317 nucleotides) under uncultured bacterium. Its description in RNAcentral is "bacterial SSU rRNA". It matches the Rfam family "Bacterial small subunit ribosomal RNA", at positions 775 to 1083 of the family's 1533-position model. The record is from RNAcentral.
AGAUAAUAGAUACCCGGGUAGUCCUGGCCUUAAACGAUGAAUACUUGGUGUCUGGAGUCUCUAUAGCUCCGGGUGCCGUCGCUAACGUUUUUAGUAUUCCGCCUGGGGAGUACGCACGCAAGUGUGAAACUCAAAGGAAUUGACGGGGACCCGGCACAAGCGGUGGAGCAUGUGGUUUAAUUCGACGCAACGCGAAGAACCUUACCUAGGCUAGAAUGUGAGGGAAUGUUGGGUAACGCCAACAGUCUGGGAAACCAGACCCAAAACCAAGGUGCUGCAUGGCUGUCGUCAGCUCGUGUCGUGAGAUGUUGGGUUAA